GACGAACGCUGGCGGCGUGCUUAACACAUGCAAGUCGAACGGUGAAGCGCCUUCCUUUUUGGUGGGUGUGGAUGAGUGGCGAACGGGUGAGUAACACGUGAGUAACCUGCCCCCUUCUUCUGGAUAACCGCAUGAAAGUGUGGCUAAUACGGGAUAUUCUGGGUCUGUCGCAUGAUGGGUCUGGGAAAGAUAUUGUUUCGGUGGGGGAUGGGCUCGCGGCCUAUCAGCUUGUUGGUGGGGUGAUGGCCUACCAAGGCGGUGACGGGUGGCCGGCCUGAGAGGGUGGCCGGCCACACUGGGACUGAGACACGGCUCAGACUGCGACGGGGGGCAGCAGUGGGGAAUAUGGCACAGUGGGGGCAAGCCUGAUGCAGCGACGCGGCGGGAGGGAUGGAGGCCUUCGGGUUGUGAACCUCUUUCGCCAGUGAAGCAGGCCUGCCUCGUUUGUGGGUGGGUUGACGGUAGCUGGAGAAGAAGCGCCGGCUAACUACGUG
RNAcentral lists this ribosomal RNA (494 nucleotides) under uncultured bacterium. Its description in RNAcentral is "partial 16S ribosomal RNA". It matches the Rfam family "Bacterial small subunit ribosomal RNA", at positions 28 to 507 of the family's 1533-position model. The record is from RNAcentral.